This 440-nucleotide ribosomal RNA is filed under the name uncultured bacterium. RNAcentral's name for it is "partial 16S ribosomal RNA". It matches the Rfam family "Bacterial small subunit ribosomal RNA", at positions 338 to 795 of the family's 1533-position model. The record is from RNAcentral.
CCUACGGGCGGCAGCAGUAGGGAAUAUUGCUCAAUGGGGGAAACCCUGAAGCAGCAACGCCGCGUGGAGGAUGAAGGUUUUCGGAUUGUAAACUCCUUUUGUUAGAGAAGAUAAUGACGGUAUCUAACGAAUAAGCACCGGCUAACUCCGUGCCAGCAGCCGUGGUAAUACGGAGGGAGCAAGCGUUACUCGGAAUCACUGGGCGUAAAGAGCGCGUAGGCGGGAUGGCAAGUCAGAUGUGAAAUCCUAUGGCUUAACCAUAGAAUUGCAGUUGAAACUGUUAAUCUAGAGUAUAGGAGAGGUAGGUGGAAUUCUUGGUGUAGGGGUAAAAUGCGUAGAGAUCAAGAGGAAUACUCAUUGCGAAGGCGACCUGCUAGAACAUAACUGACGCUGAUGCGCGAAAGCGUGGGGAGCAAACAGGAUUAGAUACCCCUGUAGUC